UACAGAGGUCCCAAGCGUUGUUCGGAUUCACUGGGCGUAAAGGGCGCGUAGGCGGCCUUCUUAGUCGGACGUGAAAUCCCCGGGCUUAACUCGGGAACUGCGUCCGAUACUGGAAGGCUGGAGUUCGGGAGAGGAAUGUGGAAUUCCAGGUGUAGCGGUGAAAUGCGUAGAUAUUGGGAAGAACACCGAUGGCGAAGGCAGCCAUCUGGACCGACACUGACGCUGAGGCGCGAAAGCGUGGGGAUCAAACAGG
RNAcentral lists this ribosomal RNA (253 nucleotides) under uncultured bacterium. RNAcentral's name for it is "partial 16S ribosomal RNA". It matches the Rfam family "Bacterial small subunit ribosomal RNA", at positions 524 to 776 of the family's 1533-position model. The record is from RNAcentral.